Molecule: unclassified non-coding RNA, 370 nt
Filed under: fungal sp.
Lineage: Eukaryota; Fungi
Description: partial internal transcribed spacer region
Rfam family: Eukaryotic small subunit ribosomal RNA (bases 1-46)
Source: RNAcentral
AAGUCGUAACAAGGUAACCGUAGGUGAACCUGCGGUUGGAUCAUUACCAAAUAUCCAAUGGGAAGGAGCGUCCCUAGUCCAGUUUAACGACUCUACUAGGCCAACGUCUCCUUUUCCAUUUCCCCACCUUUUGUGCAAUGUAAUGUAUUUGGCGGGCCAUGAUCGGCUCAGGUACUAGGCUUCGGUCUAGCUUCCCGAGUCGAGAAUGCUUGUGAAGGCUGGCCCUAUUGAAAGGACCCCCCUCAACCGUCAUGUUAACACACCUAAUAUUAUCUAUACCAACAAUCUGACGUUUAUAUGCUAGGAUGCGCGUUUGCGUAACCUGGAACAUAACCGAAAACAACUUUUGACAACGGAUCUCUUGGCUCUC